GACGAACGCUGGCGGCGUGCUUAACACAUGCAAGUCGAACGGAAAGGCCCUGCUUUUGUGGGGUGCUCGAGUGGCGAACGGGUGAGUAACACGUGAGUAACCUGCCCUUGACUUUGGGAUAACUUCAGGAAACUGGGGCUAAUACCGGAUAGGAGCUCCUGCUGCAUGGUGGGGGUUGGAAAGUUUCGGCGGUUGGGGAUGGACUCGCGGCUUAUCAGCUUGUUGGUGGGGUAGUGGCUUACCAAGGCUUUGACGGGUAGCCGGCCUGAGAGGGUGACCGGCCACAUUGGGACUGGGAUACGGCCCAGACUCCUACGGGAGGCAGCAGUGGGGAUAUUGCACAAUGGGCGGAAGCCUGAUGCAGCAACGCCGCGUGCGGGAUGACGGCCUUCGGGUUGUAAACCGCUUUCGCCUGUGACGAAGCGUGAGUGACGGUAAUGGGUAAAGAAGCACCGGCUAACUACGUG
This 467-nucleotide ribosomal RNA is filed under the name uncultured bacterium. RNAcentral's name for it is "partial 16S ribosomal RNA". It matches the Rfam family "Bacterial small subunit ribosomal RNA", at positions 28 to 507 of the family's 1533-position model. The record is from RNAcentral.